GGAAUCUUGCACAAUGGGCGAAAGCCUGAUGCAGCGACGCCGCGUGGGCGAAGAAGGCCUUUGGGCCGUAAAGCCCUGUCGGGCGGGAAGAAGGAAGCGACGGUACCUCCCAAGGAAGCCCCGGCUAACUACGUGCCAGCAGCCGCGGUAACACGUAGGGGGCGAGCGUUAUCCGGAUUUAUUGGGUUUAAAGGGUGCGUAGGCGGGCUGUUAAGUCAGCGGUCAAAUGUCGGGGCUCAACCCCGGCCGGCCGUUGAAACUGGCGGCCUCGAGUGGGCGAGAAGUAUGCGGAAUGCGUGGUGUAGCGGUGAAAUGCAUAGAUAUCACGCAGAACUCCGAUUGCGAAGGCAGCAUACCGGCGCCCUACUGACGCUGAGGCACGAAAGCGUGGGUAUCGAACAG
RNAcentral lists this ribosomal RNA (402 nucleotides) under uncultured bacterium. RNAcentral describes it as "bacterial SSU rRNA". It matches the Rfam family "Bacterial small subunit ribosomal RNA", at positions 358 to 775 of the family's 1533-position model. The record is from RNAcentral.